Molecule: unclassified non-coding RNA, 1387 nt
Filed under: Hevea brasiliensis (rubber tree)
Lineage: Eukaryota; Viridiplantae; Streptophyta; Magnoliopsida; Malpighiales; Euphorbiaceae
Source: RNAcentral
GCUGGUAGUCUAACGACCAACUAUUCAACCUUGGAUAACACCCUUGGCUUCCCCUUCCAUCUGGUCAUACAAUUCACGUUCUUCACCAGAAAGUUCAAUGUAGUGUGUCUCUACAGUUUUAGACGGCAAUCCAACCAAACCCUUGUCCUUUGUUCUCCGCAAAGAUAUUGUUGCCAUUAAAACCUGCAGUCGCGAGAGCCCCUUCUUAUCCCCCUGAGCAAGGGGCCGUUGAACCAGGCUUUGCCAAUAGUUCUUGAUGGAAAAUGGCUCAAACCGCAAAAAUGCCAUCAAGGAAAACAAAUCAAAGGAUCCAUUCUGUAUGGGUGUUCCUGUAACAACCCAUCUCCGCUUAGCCUUCAAAUUAGUAACUGCUCGACUUUGUUGUGCAUUUGCAUUCUUAAUGACAUGUGCCUCAUCCAAAAUGACUCUCCACCACUCAAUCAUCUUCACAGGGGAGUCUUCCCAAGAGCCUUCACUAGCCAAAGUACUAUAUGUUGUCAACACUAUAUCUUGCUUCUUAAGCUCCUCAGCUUCUCUAGUCCUUUCACCAUAAUACAUGUAUACCUUGAAUGAUCCACGUUGAGUAUGCUCUUCUAGCUGCGUUACCCAUGAUGAAAAUACAGCGGGAGGGCACACAAUUAAAGUCGUCUUUGCACCUAAAAUACUAAAAGACUUAUCAGUUCCACCCACAGACUUCCCUUUUGCAUUGAUAUCCAAAUGGGCGCCUUCCGUUUUAUGCUUUUUUCGUCCUCGAGUCCCCUUUGCACUCACCCUACGCCUCUUACCCUUCUUAUCGCUAAAAACAGUGGAUCCCUCAUCUAACUCACAUGUUCCUUCUCCAAUAUUGUCUCUAUCAAGGGUGGCACUAUUAUCAGCUCUAUCAAAAGCAAUCAAAGAGAGCAAAGUUAAAGUCUUGCCCAAUCCCAUGUCAUCUGCAAGAAUCCCACCACGCAAUGGCUCUGGCCUCUUAUCUGUAUGAUAAUUGGUCAAAACAUUUACAUAUUCCCCAUCUUUCUCCUCCCAAAAGGGUGGUAAUUCGCCAGAAUUCUCUCUAUUCAUAAGCCACCAUAAUCCCUCCUUUUGGUGAACAAAGAGCUCAGACUUAAUCAUCUCCUUGGGUGGCUCCAAAGUCCCAAUUUUUCCUUUCUUAUUCACAUUGUCAUCUACUAGCUUAAAUAUUUCGUCCACACUUUUAGAAUCACUUUUUUUGCACUUCUCUUUAACCACCAUAGCCUCUGAUAACCCAAAACUCGCAUCCGUUUCCGAAAUCAAAACCAAACCACCACGGAAAAUGGCGGAUUUUACGACCUCAAUAUCCUCAAACCUAGCAAAAAUAUGAAUUUGACAAGGAAUCCUAAACUUAUUACCACUACUACGCGAAUUGGCG